GAUGAAGAACGUAGCGAAAUGCGAUAAGUAAUGUGAAUUGCAGAAUUCAGUGAAUCAUCGAAUCUUUGAACGCACAUUGCGCCCGCCAGUAUUCUGGCGGGCAUGCCUGUCUGAGCGUCUUUUCAACCCUCAUGCCCCUAGGGCGUGGUGUUGGGGAUCGGCCAAAGCCCGCGAGGGACGGCCGGCCCCUAAAUCUAGUGGCGGACCCGUCGUGGCCUCCUCUGCGAAGUAGUGAUAUUCCGCAUCGGAGAGCGAUGAGCCCCUGCCGUUAAACCCCCAACUUUCCAAGGUUGACCUCAGAUCAGGUAGGAAUACCCGCUGAACUUAAGCAUAUCAAUAAGCGGAGGA
This 348-nucleotide unclassified non-coding RNA is filed under the name soil metagenome. RNAcentral's name for it is "partial contains 5.8S ribosomal RNA, internal transcribed spacer 2, and large subunit ribosomal RNA". The stretch from base 1 to 120 matches the Rfam family "5.8S ribosomal RNA", at positions 35 to 154 of the family's 154-position model. The record is from RNAcentral.